This 467-nucleotide ribosomal RNA is filed under the name uncultured bacterium. Its description in RNAcentral is "partial 16S ribosomal RNA". It matches the Rfam family "Bacterial small subunit ribosomal RNA", at positions 28 to 507 of the family's 1533-position model. The record is from RNAcentral.
GACGAACGCUGGCGGCGUGCUUAACACAUGCAAGUCGAACGGAAAGGCCCUGCUUUUGUGGGGUGCUCGAGUGGCGAACGGGUGAGUAACACGUGAGUAACCUGCCCUUGACUUUGGGAUAACUUCAGGAAACUGGGGCUAAUACCGGAUAGGAGCUCCUGCUGCAUGGUGGGGGUUGGAAAGUUUCGGCGGUUGGGGAUGGACUCGCGGCUUAUCAGCUUGUUGGUGGGGUAGUGGCUUACCAAGGCUUUGACGGGUAGCCGGCCGAGAGGGUGACCGGCCACAUUGGGACUGAGAUACGGCCCAGACUCCUACGGGAGGCAGCAGUGAGGAAUAUUGCACAAUGGGCGGAAGCCUGAUGCAGCAACGCCGCGUGCGGGAUGACGGCCUUCGGGUUGUAAACCGCUUUCGCCUGUGACGAAGCGUGAGUGACGGUAAUGGGUAAAGAAGCACCGGCUAACUACGUG